Anopheles gambiae (African malaria mosquito) is the source of this 5144-nucleotide RNA transcript. It is a transcript of the gene named cullin-1, with no coding region annotated. NCBI's taxonomy places the organism in Eukaryota, Metazoa, Arthropoda, Insecta, Diptera, Culicidae. The record is from RefSeq and is a predicted model, not a curated record. The transcript is spliced from 13 exons.
CCCCACACAAAGCGUUUCGCUGCCAGUCGCAUCGGGCAACACCACAGCAAGCUCUCUCAAGUGUUUUUUUUAAUGGCUGUCAGUUUUAAUGGUUGGAUUUCUCUAAGCUCGAACCUGAAAGAAAGUCAUCUUUCGACCCGAAACGGCUUCUUUCUUUCGCGUUACUGUGUUUAAUCUGGUGCACGGAAGUUGCCAGCUACAGCUCCCCAGCCCGAAACACCAACUGUGGGGCCCCAGUCGCGGUGGCCACAUUCAGUCAGCCAAGAGCGUAGCAAAUAUCAGUCGAUAAUUACGACGAAACGGAACGCCCUGGGUCUGUGCCUGGCUGGUUCGUGUAAAUAAACCACGUUGGAGUGAUUCUUUUUCCACCCCCCCCCCCCCCUCGUGUAAUCGUGUAAUUGACGAAACCACACAACAGCACGCAGUAGACGGAAGGAAGCAUUGAAGGAUCUCUCCCUAAUCCAAUGUCUAAACUAAACUCCCAUGGGGCUACAGGGCUUAAGAAUAUUAAUCUUGAAGAGAUAUGGACCGAUCUGGAAGCAGGGAUAAAGCAGGUGUACAAACGGGAGCUCAGUUUGGGCAUCGCACGCUACAUGGAACUCUACACACAUGUCUACAAUUACUGUACGAGUGUCCACCAGCAGCCCAACUCGCGCACGGGCUCGUCGAAGAUAUCGAAAAAAGGCAUCAGCGCACCGCCGGGCGGGGCCCAGCUGGUCGGCCAGGAGCUGUACAAACGGUUGAAGGAGUUUCUCGAGAACUACCUCGUGCGGUUGCACCAGAAUGGGAUCGAUCUGAUGGACGAGGAAGUGCUGAGCUUCUACACCAAGCGCUGGGAGGAGUAUCAGUUCUCGAGCAAGGUGCUGAACGGUGUCUGCGCCUACCUGAACCGGCAUUGGGUGAAGCGCGAGUGUGAGGAGGGCCGCAAGGAUGUGUACGAGAUCUACCAGCUGGCGCUGGUGACCUGGCGCGGCAACCUGUUCAAGCAUCUGAACAAGCAGGUAACGAACGCCGUGCUGAAGCUGAUCGAGCGCGAGCGCAAUGGGGAAACGAUCAACUCCCGGCUGGUGUCCGGUGUCAUCAACUGCUACGUCGAGCUCGGCCUCAACGAGGACGAUCCGCACGCCAAGGGUCAGAAUCUGUCGGUGUACAAGGAAAGCUUCGAGAACAUAUUCCUGGAGGAUACGGAACGAUUCUACACGCGCGAGAGUGCCGAAUUUUUGCGCGAAAAUCCCGUCACCGAGUACAUGAAGCGGGUGGAGCUGCGCCUGAACGAGGAACAGAAACGUGUACAGGUGUACCUGCACGAAAGCACACUGGACCGGCUGGCGGAGAAGUGUGAGCGUGUGCUGAUUCACAUUCAUCUCGAUCAGUUCCGGACCGAGUUCCAGAACUUGCUGAACUCGGACAAGAACCAGGAUCUGGGCCGCAUGUACUCGCUGGUCGCCCGCAUCAAGGCCGGUCUGUACGAGCUCAAAGAAAUCCUAGAAACUCACAUCCACAAUCAGGGCCUGGCGGCAAUAGAGAAAUGUGGAGACUCUGCUGUAAAUGACCCGAAAAUUUACGUCCAAACCAUUCUGGAAGUACACAAGAAAUACAACGCAUUAGUACUUACUGCUUUUAACAACGACAGCGGUUUCGUGGCAGCGCUCGAUAAGGCGUGCGGCAAGUUCAUCAACACAAACGCCGUCACCGAGCUGAGCAGAAGCGCCAGCAAGAGCCCCGAGCUGUUGGCUAAGUAUUGUGAUUUGCUGCUGAAGAAGUCUAGUAAAAAUCCGGAGGAAGCGGAACUGGAGGACACGCUCAAUCAAGUGAUGGUUGUGUUCAAGUACAUCGAAGAUAAGGAUGUGUUCCAGAAGUUCUACAGCAAGAUGCUGGCGAAACGGCUUUGCCAACACAUGUCGGCCAGCGACGAUGCGGAAGCGUCCAUGAUAUCGAAGCUGAAGCAGGCCUGUGGCUUCGAGUACACCAGCAAACUGCAGCGGAUGUUCCAGGACAUCGGUGUGUCGAAGGAUCUGAACGAUCAGUACCGGAAGCAUCACGAGAAGCUGCGGGACACGCGCAGCACGACACAGAACGAGAUAGAUUUCAGCAUUCUGGUGCUAUCGAGCGGAUCGUGGCCAUUCGGCCAGGGCUUUACAUUCUCCCUGCCCUUUGAGCUGGAACAGUCGGUCCAUCGAUUUAACAAUUUCUACGCCAAGCAACAUUCCGGCCGUAAACUGAACUGGUUGUACAAUAUGUGUCGCGGCGAGCUCAUUACAAACUGUUUCCGAAUGCGAUACACACUGCAGGCUAGUACCUUCCAAAUGGCCGUGCUGUUGCAAUUCAACGAAGAAACGGCCUGGAGUAUCAAGCAGUUGGGAGAAAACACUGGUAUCAACAAUGAAAAUCUUAUACAAGUGCUUCCAAUUUUGCUGAAGACGAAGCUACUUAACUGCUACGAAGGCGAAGGCAAGCUACACCCAGACUCCACCAUCGAGCUGAACAAGGACUUUAAAAACCGUAAACUCCGCAUCAACAUCAACUUCCCGCUGAAGUCGGAACUGAAGGUGGAACAGGAAGCGACACACAAAAACAUCGAAGAAGAUCGUAAGAUACUCAUCCAGGCGGCGAUCGUGCGUAUCAUGAAGAUGCGAAAGAUGCUCAACCACACGCAGCUCGUGAACGAAGUGUUGAAUCAGCUGUCCACACGAUUUAAGCCGAAGAUUCAAGUGAUAAAGAAAUGUAUCGAUAUUCUGAUAGAGAAAGAAUAUCUGGAACGUCAGGAAGGACAAAAGGAUACCUACAGCUAUCUGGCUUGAUCAGUGAUAAUUUUAAUCAGUAGUGUAGUUAUCUAAAACAAAAACACGUAUUUUCAAUAUCAAACAUCCUAGCUGAGCGUACGUAAAAUACAAAAUCCCCCUCCUCCUCUAAGACAGAACAAAGGUGCGCCAUUGUGAAAACACCUACAAAGAAGGAUAGCAACGUUUAAAUAGUAAAUAGAGGCGAUAGGCGCGAUCAAACGUGACGUAAAAAAACGCAAACCAACAUAAACACGAAUGUAUCUUGAUAAACCAUACAGUGUGCAGCCACAGCCUCUCGGCCAAGGAGCGGGACAGGGACAUGUUACAGUAAAAAUACCCUCAGACACAUCCACAACAGCCAAAACGGUCCCGGAAAGAGAGCGUGCGUGUGUGAACGCACAUAAAGAAACAAUGAUGUGAGAUGCAGAGAACUAUGUAGAAAUGAUGUGUGGAAUUCUUCAGCUCAUAGCUCAUGCUGAAUGGACAAUUCCACCGGAACCGGAAAACAAUGCCAGUAGCAGCAGGGGCAGCGACUGCAGCUAGCAAAAGGCGUGAGGCGCGUUGGAAGUGGAACGUAAAGGGCAGACAGACGAGAAGAGACAGAGGGAGAACAACAACAAAAAGCUAUAGAAUAAUAAUAUUGGUUGUCUGUUUUGUCUUAGUUUGAUUUUUGUUUUGAGAUUUUAGCAGAAUUUUGAAAAUGUGACACAAACGUACACACAACACACAUUCUCACAGAAAUGGCUACGAACUACGUUUUUGCUACGGACGCACAGCAAUCCUCUGUGAUGGGAAGAGAGUAAAAGGGAGCAUAGGCAAUCUGUUUUAUUUUGUUCAGUGUCCCGGACUACGCGAGUUGUUGUGUGACUGACUGUUACUAUAGUUUGAUAGUUUAAAAUGUGUGGACGAGCACCACCAUAUGCCACUCUGUUUCGUUACUCUGUUUUAAGAAUGGUUUGACUCCCAAAUCUUGUGUUAUCCUGCGCUGCUUCUUAGCUUUUGACCCGCCAGUGCUUGUCCUGGGCAUAAUAAUGAAACGCUUUUCGCUCCGGGAAAGCCACUGCUGCAUGUGCGUUGAACCUCCCCCGGAGUGCUAGGACAGUGCACUUUACAGCGCUUUUUUUCUAUUCAACAACUUCUGUCGAUGUUAAUUUGUGUGUGUGUGUGUAUUAUGAUUUUAUGUUGAUGCUGUCUGUAAAAACUGAUUCUCAUACCAUGGAUGCAAGCGCGCAGCUACUACUGCAUCGAAGGCCCAUGUGGUGGAGGCGUACGGGGUCUGUGUCGCAUGCAUCAUUGCGAGCGCUAGUAGGGCAGUACACUACACCCUGGUCGGUCAGUUCCAGAUCGCGCGAGGGACAAUUCUGAAUUCACUUAUAUUGUGUAGCUUUAAAAGAAGAAAAUCCUCUCGGUUCAUGUUUGAACAGUCUCUAUUGAACAGUGUACCCGAUGUUCGAGCUAGGGAUAGAGCUAGAAGGAUGAGGAGACAGAGAGAUACAGAGAACAAAGCUCUUAAAUAUUAAGGACAACUGAGCUUGGAAUAGCUUGGUUAAAAAAAGAAGAAAACUAACAGCGAACAUAAUUCAUUACAGAAUUUACUUGUGUAUGAUCGAUCCAGCCAAUGAUGAAAAUAAAACAAGGAUCUAAACAGCUAGAUAAACAGUAGUAAUCCCUUUCCCUUCCUCUAUUUACGUGCAAGUCGAGUAAUGGUUUUCUAAAAUGUUUGCAAUUUGCUAAACAUAAGAUUUCUGCGCUUUGUAACGGACAUUGAAAUAAUAUGCCGUCAUUUUUAAAAAUUUGGAAUUUCAUUCCGCGAACUGUCAAACAGCAUGUCCGCAGAAAUAGCACGCCGUCCCACGUGAUCUGUCAACUACGGAACGACAAUUAGCACUUGUCAAAAUCACAAGCAUACGCAUUUUCGGGCAUUUUCUCUAUCUUAACAAAAACAGCAAUGAGUGGACGCGAAGGUGGCAAGAAGAAGCCUCUGAAGGCACCGAAAAAGGAGCAGUCCGAGAUGGACGAGGACACUGCUGCGUUCAAGGCGAAGCAGAAGGAACAGCAGAAAGCGCUCGAAGCGGCCAAACAGAAGGCUACCAAGGGUGGCCCGCUACUGCAGGGCGGCAUCAAGAAGUCGGGCAAGAAGUGAUCCGGCAGCUGUUACCGGAACCAGCGGUUGCUGCUAACCUCCUCAUCUGCUGCCACUCAAUCCGACAUCGGGAGGUUAUCCCGGGAGGUCGUCUGCCGCCGUUGGAUCGCCGUUUAAGUUAAGCCUACAAAUUUCCGUGUUUUCAAUGCCCGCGCUGACGGACCCGGUGUGGUUUAUACACUAUUGAUAAAUAAACAUUUUCACUUAACGAUACACGA